This 284-nucleotide long non-coding RNA is filed under the name Ananas comosus (pineapple). RNAcentral describes it as "long non-coding RNA (ACOM_LNC007626)". The record is from RNAcentral. Lineage: Eukaryota; Viridiplantae; Streptophyta; Magnoliopsida; Poales; Bromeliaceae.
UUAUCGAUGAAAUAUAUUUUUCUGCUAAAUUAUCAAUACUAAAAUUUUAUUUUAUAUACAUAUAUAAAAGAAAGAUAGUAUACUAUCUGUUUCGUUUAUUUUUUUUUUAGAAAUAAACAUAGCUGGAAAUGUAAAUAAAUUAGGAUUCAGACUCGAAACUUCGGAUACUAACUACUAAAUCAUUUAUCACUUGCGUUAAGGACGGUUGAUGCAAUGAGUUUUUUGAGAACAAAGAAUAUAUCCUAUUGACUUGGGAGAAGAAUUUUUUAUUUUGAACAAAGAAU